UACGUAGGGUGCAGCGUUGUCCGGAAUUAUUGGGCGUAAAGAGCUCGUAGGCGGCCUGUCGCGUCUGCUGUGAAAACUCAGGGCUUAACCCUGAGCUUGCAGUGGGUACGGGCAGACUAGAGUGCGGUAGGGGAGACUGGAAUUCCUGGUGUAGCGGUGAAAUGCGCAGAUAUCAGGAGGGAACACCGGUGGGCGAAGGCGGGUCUCUGGGACGG
This 215-nucleotide ribosomal RNA is filed under the name uncultured bacterium. RNAcentral describes it as "partial 16S ribosomal RNA". It matches the Rfam family "Bacterial small subunit ribosomal RNA", at positions 524 to 737 of the family's 1533-position model. The record is from RNAcentral.